UGAACGCUGGCGGCAGGCCUAACACAUGCAAGUCGAGCGAGACCUUCGGGUCUAGCGGCGGACGGGUGAGUAACGCGUGGGAACGUGCCCUUUGGUUCGGAAUAGCCCCGGGAAACCUGGGAGUAAUACCGGAUGAGCCCUACGGGGGAAAGAUUUAUCGCCGAAGGAUCGGCCCGCGUUGGAUUAGGUAGUUGGUGGGGUAAUGGCCUACCAAGCCGACGAUCCAUAGCUGGUUUGAGAGGAUGAUCAGCCACACUGGGACUGAGACACGGCCCAGACUCCUACGGGAGGCAGCAGUGGGGAAUCUUAGACAAUGGGGGAAACCCUGAUCUAGCCAUGCCGCGUGAGCGAUGAAGGCCUUAGGGUUGUAAAGCUCUUUCAGUGGGGAAGAUAAUGACUGUACCCACAGAAGAAGCCCCGGCUAACUCCGCGCCAGCAG
RNAcentral lists this ribosomal RNA (439 nucleotides) under uncultured bacterium. RNAcentral describes it as "bacterial SSU rRNA". It matches the Rfam family "Bacterial small subunit ribosomal RNA", at positions 30 to 514 of the family's 1533-position model. The record is from RNAcentral.